GCCCUGGUCGUAUAGAGGUCAGUAUGCUGCCCUGUCACGGCAGCGACCCGGGUUCGAAUCCCGGCCAGGGCGCCA
RNAcentral lists this transfer RNA (75 nucleotides) under Nitrososphaerota archaeon. RNAcentral describes it as "tRNA-Asp". It matches the Rfam family "tRNA". Rfam says of the family: Transfer RNA (tRNA) molecules are approximately 80 nucleotides in length. Their secondary structure includes four short double-helical elements and three loops (D, anti-codon, and T loops). The record is from RNAcentral. Lineage: Archaea; Thermoproteati; Nitrososphaerota. RNAcentral also lists the same sequence under 1 other name.